Molecule: long non-coding RNA, 4233 nt
Organism: Peromyscus californicus insignis
Lineage: Eukaryota; Metazoa; Chordata; Mammalia; Rodentia; Cricetidae
Exons: 3
Source: RefSeq, a predicted model, not a curated record
GCACGGCGGUCCCCUAGCCUGAUCCAGCUGUUCUGGACACGAUGCUACCCACGUCGGGCCAGAGCCCCCCACCAUGGCUGUGCCGCCCACAUAGGCCCAAGUCCACUGGGUUGCACCCUCUCUCUGACCUUGGCUUGCUCGGCCUCGCUGGUGGUCUUCCCAGCUGGAAUGUGCUCCUGUCUAUAGAACUGGAACCCAGAUCCACUAACACUUAACUGGCUGUGUUAGCUAGGGCCAGUGUCUUAACCCCUCUGAGCCUUCGUCCACCUGCAAAGUGGGCGUGAAACCAAAGAGGCCUCAGCGUCGUGGUGAGAAGCACACACCUGGCACUUGGUCAACUCUCAAUAAUGGAAGUAUUGUUUACAGUGGAGGCAAGGGAAGAGAGCAUAAUGCAGAGUGGCCUCUGAAACCACUCACGGCCCCGCCCAUAACCUGCGACCCACAGCGUUGGGAGAGUUUCUGCUUUGAAAUGUGUUUAAGAAAUCCAUCCCUGCCACAAUCCCAGCACUUGGGAGGCUCAAGAAAUAGGAUGGACGUGAGCUUGAGGCUGUAUUGGUUACAUGCAAGACCCUGCUUUCAGAUAGACCAACCUGCAGUUGCUCCCCAAUUAACCUUAAGUCGCCAAUCUAAGAUUUCCUGGUUCUUCUCAAGAACUCUCAAGCAGACUCCAGGUAAGUACUCCUGCCGACCAACAGUCUGUUUUCCUGCCCACUGCCUAUUCCUAAGGGUGGGAUCUCUCCCCGUUCCCUGGGAUCUCUCCAUGGGAUCUCUCCCUGGGAUUGCUCCCCUUCCCUGUCUUGAGACUCCUCUUCCCAGCUACCAGGACCAUGGACCUAAAAGUUUCAAAUGUAUAUCCAAGAAAAAAAAUUUUUUUUCCUCUGUCCCUAGUUUAUCUGUUCCAACAGAUUUCAAAUCAACUAUAGACUGCUCCAGCUCCUUGAAAUCUGCACCCUGGUCCGGCCUCACAGACCUCAAUUCCCUAACCUCAGAUGGUCCCACAGAACCUGAACUUCGACUGACACAGCCUGCUCUUCCCAACCUUGACCAACAACCCGGCUUCCUUGGGUCCCCUAAUAAGGACCGUCCCCUAAUAAGGACCGUCCCUUAAUAAGGACCCCUCAGCAUCAGCCGGAAGCAGACACAGAACGAUGCCCACUCACCCAACACUCAACGACCCAAUAAUAAAAGAAAAAGGUCAGAAUGAAGGACUCGGACCAGCUCGAGCAUGGUGGCAUGGUUCUGGCAGGUCUCGCCCUUCUUCCAGGUUCCCUCUGCCUUGCUAAAAAACGUUAGAUUACAUUCCUACAGCUAGGCACCAAGGUUUAUUCCCUUAUUUGGCCACUUCCUCCUUCUGAGGCUGACCACCAAGGUCCAGCUAUUGAAGUAUUGAAGUCUAGAAAUCAAAAGCCCCCUUUGGCUCAUCUAAUAAACACGCCCAAUUAAAAUUAAACACCUCAUCCUGACAUGCUGUUUCCCCCUUUAUCUUUAUAAGCCGCCAUUUGCCUACGAUCCACGUCUGUCUCCUCCCUGUCCAGCAGCUGUCCUUUGCCCCCCAGUACCCUUUCCUCUUUCCCUUCUUCCCUUCCCCUUCUCCCUUGUCCUUCAUCUCCUGUCUUUGUCUCUUAUUCCCUGCCCUCUGAGUCCAAUAAACCUCCUUUGUGCUGAGAACGUGGUCCUGGGGGUCCUGAGACGAUCCUUUUCCUUUCUGUGACUCUACCCCGGUCCACUCUCCCAUACCGGAAGGAACCAGUCAUAUCUCUCUGCGUUUGCUCAGCACCGACCCUCAACGUCAUGCACAGUGCUUGGAAUAUGGGAGGUGCCCAGUAAAUACUUGCAAGAUGCGACUCAGGAGGCAAAAGGUUAAUGGUUUGCAGGUCAGCUUGGGCAACGCGCCAAGAUCGGUGCCUGUCUCGAGUCGAAACAUAAUGACAAAACAAGCAAACAUCCCAGGGUGAAGGAGUUCUGUGUGUUACUCCUUCAGUGGGAGGGGUGGCCCCUGCUUCUGUGUGUGGCCGACUCUCCUGUCCUCCCCUGUUCCCCCGAUACUCCUCACAGCCACCCUGCUCUGAGCCUCCUAUCUGCUCUCCUGGAGCCCCCUGCCCUAAGAAGGGGAGCUGAGGAGAUUACCUAGACGUCCCUGGGUAGAAUGUUGCUGCCUUGCUGCCUGCUAACCAAAAAGGUCAAAGGAACUUGUGUAGCUCGUGGAAAAACAGGUUCCUCACCCCCUCUCUUCCCCUACCCCUCUCAACCUUGCUCAGGGUUUCCCUGGAAAGGGUUAAAUCAUUUACAGAAGGCAGGAGGCUCCCUCCACACUUGAGAGCUCUAGAGAUGUUCUGUAAAAGGUCAGAUGUUUCCAGGACCUCAACAGACAGCCUGUGUCUGUUUACAUAGAAAGAUGACGAGUUCCCGGCACCCAGCCAGCCCUCGUGGGCAGCCUUUGCCUGGUUCGGCAGACACCAGGCCAGAUGCCAGGACAAGAGCAACCCACCACCCUCACCCUCCUGACAGCCAGACUGCAGUUUUCUAAGUUUCAGCCCAGGCAAGGCUGGAACCCCACAAACAGGGCACACACAGCUCUCUGAGCCUGGGAAUCCUGGGGGUGGCAACUUCUUGUAGACCCUGAACGUUUUCAGCUGGAAGGGACUGUACUCUGGGGUUGUCAUUUUAAAGAUGAGGCUCAGAGUGGGGUGGCUCUGCCGCCUGCAGAAAAAUCCGGACCCAGAGUAUGCAAGCCCAGCUCCAAAUCCAGCCUAGAACAAAGGACUGUGGGAUUCUGGGGGGCAAUGGGCCGUUUCCACUGGUCUGCGUGAGUGAGGUCAGAGCACAGCUUGUAGGAAUCAGCUCUCCCCUUUCCCAAGGUUUCCUCCAGAAUGGAACCCAGCUCCUGUGGAAAGCACCUUUCCCCGCUGAGCCAUCUUGUCCACCUCGAGCAAAAUGUUCGGCUUUAGAGGACCAAACAAUUAUUUAUCUAACUACAGAGAAACACGAAAGCAUGCAAAUCUGCUGAAAGCAUUAAACAGAAAUGUAAAAAGCAUUUGUGAAAGCAUUUGUGUUUUCUGACUCAUUGCUCUUAAAAGUACCUAAGUGUGGACUUUGAAAAGAAGAGGAGGUGGGCUCUGGGGCAUAGCUCAGAAAUAGAGUACAUUGUCCCUGGGUUUGAUUCUCCGUCCCCAUCUCCCCACACAUGCAAAAGAAGAAAAACAAAACAAAGACCCAACCACCUUACCUGUGGUCUCAGUGUCCCAGAGGUGAAGACAGGAGGGCCAGGAGGAGUCCCGGGUCAUCUGCUGUUAGAGAAACCCUGCCGCAGAGAAAGCGAACUAACAGACAUCUUUAGUUUCCUCUGUUUUGUUUUUUGAGACAAGGUUUCUCUGUGUAGUCCUGGCUGUCCUGGAACUCCCUCUGUAGACCAGGCUGGCCUGGAACUACAGAGAUCCACCUGCCUCUGCCUCUGCCUCUCGAGUGCUGGGAUUAAGGCGUGGGCCACCACCGCCCGUUGGGAAGAUAGAUUCUAUUCCGGCGCUUUCCACAGUUUCUUAGUUUUUAGGUUUUUGUAGUGCACGUGAUAAGUAACAAAAACAAAGUCUGCUUCACUUGUCCUUUGUCUUAAGUUACUUCCUUUCCUUUUUUGUUUUUGUUUUGAGGCAGGGUCUCACUAUGUAGUCCUGGCUGGCCUGCAGCCCACUAUGUUAACGAGACUGGCCUAGAACUCACAGAGAUCCAACCACCUCUGCCCCCUGACUGCUGGGAUUCAGGUACUAUUUUCUAUCAAAGCUUAAGAGACUCUGCUCUCAGAGGCGACAGGACCUGAAAGACUGGGAGCCUGGGACCCGGUUUGUGUGGCAUGUGACUUUGGGCAAGGCAAUGUAAUGGCUAAAGUUAUGUUUUACAUUUAAAUUACUGUGCUUAAGAGAUCUAUAAAAACAAAAAUGCCUCUAAUGUAUAAGCCCCACUUGCCCAAGGACAGAUAACUUCCUGGAAUGCUGGGGCCUGUUGCUCAUGUAAGAUAACAAGCCACGUGUUUUCACGUCUGUAAACAAGCUUGGUUGCCCCAACUGCACAGGAUGUGCUUGAUCACACACAGGCAGGAGGUACGUAGGCAGGAAGUAUGUCAGGAUGUAUGCUUGCCCCUGACUGGGCGAAGAUGAGAAGUACAAAGCAUUAUGGAUUUUGCCUUUAUAAGCACCUGACUAAUGUAAUUCACUGCUGUUCUCUGAGAAUCCUGGGUAUGGA